CGUGGGCUGCUCUGAUGUAAAGGGCUACUCGGGAGGAAGCGUCAUUAUAAUCUCUAAUCUAAAAUGGGAUUCAAGACAAAGUAAAUAUGUUUGUAAGGUGGGAAAAGAAGCCUGCAGAGAUUUAAUACAUUUUAACACCAAAGAGGACUAUGUUAUAGUAGAAAGAUUCAUGCUGUAUUCAAACACAAAAGGAUAUAUGACAGUGUUUAUCAGACAGCUGAAGCUACAAGACGCAGGAACAUACAGAAUAGGAGUAGGGACUGGGAAGAGCACUGAUGUAAACCUGGCAGUUGUUAAUGAUUCCUGUUGUUCUGGGCCAAAAUAAUAAAUGCUUGUCUUGGACAAAAUACCAGCAUCAUCUGUAACUAUCCAGCAGUGUAUGAGAGAAACUACAUACAUAUCAAUAAACUCGAUAAUAACCGUGUUAUUAAACACAUUCUUAACACUCAGACAAAACCUCAGAACGGCAGAUUCUCCAUUUCCAAUGACACAAGUGCUAAAGUUCUCAGUGUGAACGUCAGUGAAGUGAGAGAAGCUGAUGAUGGAGUUUAUUUAUGUGGAGUGUAUAUCGGAGAGGGCUCAGUCCCGUUUUACUCCUACUUCACAGAGAUCCAGCUACACAUUCCAGCAAUUCACAUGAUAACAUCCGCAGCACCAAAAGAAAUCCCAUCUGAUGCUGAAUGUUUCAGUUUUUUUUUCAUCAUCGGUGUGUGUGUCUGUGUGGCUCUGCUGCUGAUUGGAGGAUUUGCACUGAUGAUCUACAAAAUGAGACACAAGAGAACACACGAUUCAACACCUUCAUCCACAGACAGUGAAGAGGCUUCUUCUGUUUAUGAGAAUGACCUGGAUAAUUUUACCCCCAUAUGAAAACUUGAACAGUGUAAUAAGAUUGAAUCAUCAGAAUCUGCAUUCAAUUACAAGCCAAUCAGAUUCAACAUACCAAACACUGGACCCCCGCACCAACCAAGCUGAUUCAGGCUACACAUCUCUGACUUACACCACCGACCAAUCAUAUUCACACUACCAAUGUCUGAAUCCUAGAACUCAGACUAACUCCGUUUACCACACCCUGCAUUCUUAAUGCUUACUUUUUUAUUUAUUCUUUUAAUUGUGAUGCAAAGUAAAAAUGUAAUUGUGGUGAAUUGCUGUGGUAAAAGUUUGGACCUGAUGUUAUUGGAAUAUAAUCACCUCAGGCUGGCAAUAGUAACUCCCUAUAAUUGAUUAUUUCCCAAUAACAGCUCGCUCAAUCGUGUUUUAUUCUGUACUGUUACUUCUGUACUGUUUUAUUCAUGUCAAUAAUGUAAACUUAAAACUGUGAUGUAAUGUUAAAAAAAAAAAUGGGGGAAAAUGUAUAUCAUCUAUAUGUGAAUGAAAUGUUGGUGGCAUGAUGACGUGGUAUUAGGUGAGGAUUGCAUCGUAACACUUGAGUGAAACUCUAUGCCAUAUAAAUAUCAGUUUUAUAAGUGUACUUGCAUAUUGAGUGAAAUUUGAUGGCAAAUUCAUGUAAAGAAAAACAAAAUAAAUUAUUUUAACUUUAAUAAUCAAGGUGCAUGUGAGCAGUUCUUCAUCAAAAAAAAAUUUCAAUUUUAAAUGUUUUGUCUGUGGAUAUUUCAGUGACCAUUGUUACGGAGCAGAGGGAUAAACAGGAAGUAAGUGCAGGAGCACUGUCUUUAUUAAUAAAUCAAUGAAACAAACAAGCACACACGGGAACGCGUUCUAUACAGAGUUAGCGAGAAAACAUGGGACUAGAGUCGAGGCAGGAAACAGGACAUGAAAACCAAGACCGCUCAGCAGCCUCGUCUCUGUUUGUUUACCAAGCCGAUU
Ictalurus punctatus (channel catfish) is the source of this 1824-nucleotide long non-coding RNA. Lineage: Eukaryota; Metazoa; Chordata; Actinopteri; Siluriformes; Ictaluridae. The record is from Ensembl.